AGUGAACGCUGGCGGUAGGCCUAACACAUGCAAGUCGAACGGCAGCACAGUAAGAGCUUGCUCUUACGGGUGGCGAGUGGCGGACGGGUGAGGAAUAAAUCGGAAUCUACUUUUUCGUGGGGGAUAACGUAGGGAAACUUACGCUAAUACCGCAUACGACCUACGGGUGAAAGCAGGGGAUCUUCGGACCUUGCGCGAUUGAAUGAGCCGAUGUCGGAUUAGCUAGUUGGCGGGGUAAAGGCCCACCAAGGCGACGAUCCGUAGCUGGUCUGAGAGGAUGAUCAGCCACACUGGAACUGAGACACGGUCCAGACUCCUACGGGAGGCAGCAGUGGGGAAUAUUGGACAAUGGGCGCAAGCCUGAUCCAGCCGUACCGCGUGGGUGAAGAAGGCCUUCGGGUUGUAAAGCCCUUUUGUUGGGAAAGAAAAGCAGCAGGUUAAUACCCCGCUGUUCUGACGGUACCCAAAGAAUAAGCACCGGCUAACUUCGUG
Molecule: ribosomal RNA, 492 nt
Filed under: uncultured bacterium
Lineage: Bacteria
Description: partial 16S ribosomal RNA
Rfam family: Bacterial small subunit ribosomal RNA
Source: RNAcentral